GGCUCCAUGUGCGUCCCUCCCAAAGCUGUGUGCUCGGUGGAAGAGGAUGACCAUCCCAGAUAGGAGUGUACUGUUCUUCGGUCAAGGGUAUACGAUAGCUGUGUUCCCCUGCUAGAACCUCCAAACCAGCUUGAGAGUAUACCUAUAUUGUUCUGCAUCUCUCUCU
Podarcis lilfordi (Lilford's wall lizard) is the source of this 166-nucleotide non-coding RNA. NCBI's taxonomy places the organism in Eukaryota, Metazoa, Chordata, Lepidosauria, Squamata, Lacertidae. The record is from the annotation of a GenBank genome assembly.